CAUGGUUCCUAGUCGGAUUUGUUAACCACUGUGCCACAACAGGAACUCCCUCUGAUAAAUUUCUAUUCUUUACUCUUUACUUUCCUUGAGUUUAUAUAUUUAAUUUUUUAAUUUUUCAAAUGAUUUUAUUUUUUCCAUCAUACCUGGUUUAUAGUGUUCUGUCAAUUUUCUGUUGUACAGCAAAGUGACCCAGUCACACAUACAUAUUAUAUAUACAUUCUUUUUCUCACAUUAUCAGGCUCCAUCACAAGUGACUAGAUAUAAUUCCCAUGUAUGGGUCGAAUCAAAGCUACUGCCAUUGGCCUACACCACAGCCACACAUGCUGGAUCCAAGCUGCAUCUGUGACCUACACCACAGCUAUGGCAAUGCCAGAUUCUUAACCCACUGAGCAAGGCCAGGGAUCAAGGCUGGGUUCUCAUGGAUUCUAGUUGGGUUUGUUAACUCCUGAGCCAUGACAGGAACUCCCCAUUUGUGCUAUAUUUUAGAUUCCACAUCUAAGUGAUAUCAUAUGGUAUAUGUAUUUCUCUGACUUCACUUGGUAGAAGUGAAUCUUUAAUUGCAUCCAUGUUGCUGCAAAUUUUGUUCUUUUUUAUGGCUGGGUAAUAUUCCAUUGUGUAUAUAUACCACAUCUGCUUUAUCCCUUCAUCUGUUGAUGGACAUUUACAUUGUUUCCAUGUUUUGGCUGUUGUGAAUAGUGAUGCAAUGAGUAUAGGGGUGCACGUAUCUUUUGAAUGAAAGUUUUGUCUGGAUAUAUGCCCUGGAGUGAGAUUGCUGGAUCAUAUGGUAGUUCUGUAUUUAGUUUUCUGAGGUACCUCCAUAUUGUCUUCCACAGUGGUUAUACCAAUUUACAUUCCCACCAAUAGUGUAGGUGGGUUCCUUUUUCUCCACACCCCCUCCGGCAUUCGUUAUUAGUAGACUUGUUAAUGAUAGCCAUUCUGACUGGCGUGAGGUGGUACCUCAUCAUAGUUUUGAUUUGCAUUUCUCUAAUAUUAGUGAUAUUGAACCUUUUUUUCAUGUGCCUACUGGCUGUCUGUAUGUCCUCUUUGGAGAAAAGUCUGUUUAGGUCUUCUGCCCAUUUUUCAAUUGGGUGUUUGUUUUCAUUGAGUUGUGUGAGUUGUUUGCAUAUUUUUGAGAUUAGGCCCUUGUCAGUUGCAUCAUUUGCAAAGAUUUUCUCCCAUUCUGUGGAUUAUCUUUUCAUUUUUUUUUUUGGCUGCCCAGAUGCAUACGGAGUGCCAAGGCCAGGGAGCAGAUCGGAGCUGCACUUAUGACCUAUGCCACAGCUAUGGCAAUGCUGGAUCCUUAACACAUUGUGCCAGGCCAGGGAUCGAACCAUCACACCAGUGCUUCAGAGAUGCUGCUGAUCUUGUUGAGCCACAGCAAGAACCCCAUCUUUUCGUUUUUAAAAUGGUUUCCUUUGCUGCACAAAAGCUUUUAAGUUUAAUUAGGUCCCAUUGGUUUAUUUUUCUUUUUAUUGUCAUUAUUCUAGGAGGUGGCUCAAAUAAGAUGUUGCUGUGAUUUAUGUCAAAGAGUGUUCUGGCUGUUUCCCUCUAGGGUUUUAUAAAUUAUCUGGCCUUACAUUUAGGCCUUCAAUCCAUUUUGAGUUUAUCUUUGUACGUGGUAUAAGGGAGUGUUCUAAUUUCAUUCUUUUACAUGUAGCUGUCCAGUUUUCCCAGCACCACUUUGUGAAGAGACUGUCUUCCUUCCACUGUAUGUUCUUGCCUCCUUUGUCAUAGGUGAGUUAACCACAGGUGCUUGGGUUUAUUUCUGGGCUUUCUGUCCUGCUCCACUGAUCUAUACUUCUGUGUUUGUGCCAGUACCAUCCUGUUUUGGUGACCAUAGCUUUGGGUAUAGUCUGGAGUCAGGGAGACUCAAUCCUUCAUUUCUGUUUUCUUUUUCAAUAUCGCUUUGACUCUUCUAGGUCUUUUGUAUUUCCACACAGAUUUUAAAAUAUUCUCCUCUAGUUCUGUGAAGAAUGUCCUUGGUAAUUUGAUAGGGAUUGCAGCAUUGAAUCUGUAGACUGCCUUGGGUAGUAUAGUCAUUUUGAUAAUAUUGAUUAUUCCAAUCCAAGAGCAUGAUCUAUCUUUCUGUUUGUAUCAUCUUUGAUUUUUUUCAUCAGUGUCAUAUUUUUCAGAGUACAGGCCUAUUGUUUCUUUAAGUAGGUUAUUCCUAGGUGUUUUAUUCCUUUUGAUUUGAUGGUAAAUGGGAUGGUUUCCUAAUUUCUCUUUCUGAUGUUUUAUUGUUAGUAUGUAGAAAUGCAAUUGAUUUUUUGUGUUAAUUUUGUAUCCUGCAACUUUACCAAAUUAAUUGAUGAGCUCUAACAGUUUUCUGUUAGUGUCUUUAGGAUUUUCUAGGUAUAGUAUCAUGUCAUCUGCAAAUAGUGAUAAUUUUACUUGUUCCUUUCCAAUUUGGAUUCCUUUUAUUUCCUUUUGUUCUCUGACUGCCAUGGCUAGGAAUUCCAAAACUAUGUUGAAUAACAGUGAUGAGGGUAGACAUCCUUAUUUUGCUCUUAAUCUUCAAGAAAAUGCUUAUAGCUUCUCAAUGUUGAGAAUGAUGUUAGCUGUGGGUUUGUCCUAUAUGGCCCUUAUUACGUUGAGGUAGGUUCCUUCUGUGCCCACUUUCUGGAGAGUUUUUUUUUAAAUCAAAAGUGGGUAUUGAAUUUGCGAAAAGCUCUUUCUGCAUCUAUUGAGGUGAUCAUAUGGUUUUUAUUCUCCAGUUGGUUAAUGUGGUGUAUCACACUGUUUGAUUUGCAAAUACUGAAGAACAUCCUAUAAAUUUAGUUUUACAGAAUUUUCAUUAUCUUAAAGUUCAACAUAUGUUCAUGGUUGACUGUAAUUUUUCUUCUUUGACCCAUAGGUAUUUCUUUGACCAAUUUUGGUAUUUCUUUCUUUUUCAACAUGUAUUUCUUUUUUUUUUCUUUUUAGGCCACACCUGCAGCAUAUGGAAGUUCCUGGCCUAGGGGUCGAAUUGGAGUUGCAGCUGCCAGCCUACACCACAGCCACAGCAAUGCCAGAUCUGAGACAUCUGUGACUUAUGCCACAGCUCGUGGCAAUGCCAGAUUCUUAACCAAAUGAGCACGGCUAGGGAUCAAACCCACAUCCUUAUGGAUACUUUUGGGUUCUUAAUCUGCUGAACCACAAUGGGAACUCCACCAACAUGUAUUUCUUAAUUUGCAAACACAUGGGGAUUUGCUAGUCCUCUUUAAGUUAAGAUUUAUUGGAAAGAGCAAUUUUAGACUUACAGCAAAAUUGAUUGGAAGGUACAGUGAUUUCCUAUAUAUCCCCUGCCCCUGAACACACAUAGCCUGUCCCAUUAUCAACACCCCACCAGAGUGGCACGUUUGUUACAACAGAUGAACCUGCAUUGAUACAUCAUAAUCACCCAAAGUCCAUAGUUUAUAUUAUGGUUGACUCUUGGUGUUUUACAUUCUAUAGGUUUUGACAAAUGUAUAAUGACAUGUACCCAUCAUUAUAGUAUCAGACGAAGUAUUUUCAUAGCCCUAAAUAUCCUGUGUUCCACCUAUUUCUGCCAGCCCCCCUUUCUGGUAUAAAUAAAUGACUGAUCUUAGUGUCUCCAUAGUUUUGUCUUUUCCAAAAUAUCAUAUAGUUGGAAUCAUACAGUACAUAACCUUUUCAGAUUGGCUUCUUUCACUUAGUAAUAUGCAUUUAAGAUUCCUCCUUGUUGGAGUUCCUGAUGGCCUAGUGGUUAAGGGUUUGGUGUUAUCACUGCUGUGGCUCAGGUUCAGUCCCAGGCUUUGGAACUUCCGCCUGCAGAGGGCAUGACUACAAACUUUUAAAAAACUAUUGUAAAAUUCCUCCAUGUCUUUUCAUGGCUUGAUUUCUCAUUUUUCUUUAGUGCUGAAUAUUCCAUUGUCUGGAUAUACAAAAUUAUCCAUCCACCUGUGAAGGACAUCUUAGUUUUUUCCAAGUUUUAAUUAUGAAUAAAGCUGCUGUACACAUCCAUGGGCAGGUUUUUGUGUGAGCACACAUUUUCAACUCCUUUAGAUAAAUACCAAGGAAUCUUUUUGCUAGAUUGUGCGGUCAGACUGUAUUUAGUUCUGUAAGAAACCAUCAGCUGUCUUCCAACGUGGCUGUGCCAUUUUGCAUUCCCACCAGCAGUGGCUGAGCGUCCCCGUGCUCCACAUCCUCACCAGCGUCAGGUGUUGUGAGUUCUUGAUUCUAGCCAUUCCAAUAAGUGUGCAGUGGUGUCUUACUGUUUCUUUAUUUCCCUGGUUACAUUGAUAUACGGUGGCAUUCUGUACCACUGAGGGGCUGAUGGGACAAUUUUAUGGUUAACCUAGGUUGUGGGGGCAUAUGCUUGGAAACAGGAUGUACAUUCCCAAGUUAACAUUUAUGAAUUAGUAACUAGUCUUGUGGGUGCCGGGAAUACCUCAGUGAAGCUUUUCACCAUUGUUUGGGGACUAACAGAGCAUAGAGGCCUCCUGGUCCUAAUGAUUAUUAAUCAGUACCUGUUAACUACACAGCCCUUGAUGACAGAGAAGUGAUUUACUACACAGUACAGUCCUAGGUAGGGUCAGUGCCAGGACCGGAGAAACGGUCGGUUAUACUAACAGCCAUGCAUCUGCUCAAGUCCUUGGUCUUCAGGCUGUUUGCUUUCUUAUGCUGAGUUUUAAGAGUUCUUUGCACAUUUUGGAGAGCAGUCCUUUAUCAGAUGUGUCUGAGCAAAUAUUUCCUCCCAGUCUGUGAUGCGUCUUCUCAUUCUCUUGACAUUGUCUUGCAGAGCAGAAGUUUUCACCAGCUUAGAAAUUCUUUCUUUCAUGGAUUAUGCCUUUGGUAUAGUAUGAAAGGUCAUUGCCUUGUCCAAAGUCACAUAGAUUUUCUUCUAUGUUAUCUUCUAGGAGUUUUACAGUUUUGCGUUUUAUAUUUACAUAAAUGUUUUACAUUUUUAGUUAAUUUUUGUGAGGAACGUACGGUCUGUGUCUGGAUUCUUUUUUUCCUUUUCUUUUUUUGCAUGUGGAUACCCACUUGUUCCAGGAGUUUUUGUUGAAGGGGCUUUGUUUGCUCCAUUGUCAAAAGUCGGUUGACUAUAUUCAUGUGGGUCUGUUUCUGAGCUCUCUGUUUAGUUCUACUGAUCUGCCAAUUCCACACUGUCUUGAUUACUGUGGUUUUAGUAAGCCAGUAGUGUCAGUCUUCAGACUUUGUUCUUCAGUAUUGUGUUGACUAUUCUGUGUCUCUUGUCUCUCCAUAUGGACUGCAGAAUCAGUUGGUUGAUGUCCACAAAAUGGCUUGCUUUUUUGAUUUUUUUAAUUUUGAUUUUGAUUAUUAGAAAAAUGCAAAUCAAAACUACCAUGAGAUACCACCUCACACCAGUGAGAAUGGCCACCAUCAAUAAGUCCACAAAUAACAAGUGCUGGAGAGGGUGGAGAGAAGAGAACCCUCCUGCACUGUUGGUGGGAAUGUAAGCUGGUAUGACCACUAUGGAGAAUAGCAUGAAGGUACCUUAGAAAACUAUACAAAGAAUGACCAUAUGACCCAGAAAUCCCACAUUUGGGCAUAUAUCUGAACAAAACUUUCCUUAAAAAAGACACAUGCACAUGCAUUUUCAUUGCAGCUCUAUUCACAAUAGCCAAGACAUGGAAACAACCCAAAUGUCCAUCGACAGACGAUUGGAUUAGGAAGAUGUGGUAUAUAUACACAAUGGAAUACUACUCAGCCAUACAAAAGAACAAAAUAAUGCCAUGUGCAGCAACAUGGAUGGAACUAGAGACUCUCAUACUGAGUGAAGUAAGUCAGAAAGAGGAGGGCAAAUAUCAUAUGAUAUCAUUUGUUUCUAGAGUGUAAUAUACGGUACAAAUGAACCUUUCCACAGAAAAGAAAAUCAUGGACUUGGAGAAUAGACCUGUGGUUGCCUAGGGGGAGGGGGAGGGGGAGGGAGUGGGAUGGAUUGGGAGCUUGGGACUAAUGGAUGCCAACUAUCACUUAUGGAAUGGAUUAGCAGUGAGAUCCUGCUGUGUGUAUGGAGAACUAUGUCUAAUCACUUAUGAUGGAGCAUGAUAACGGGAGAAAAAAGAAUGUAUACAUGCAUGUGUAACUGGGUCACUAUGCAGUACAGUUGAAAAAAUUAUAUUGGGAAAAUAACAAUAAAAAAAGAUUUUGAUUGCACUGAGUUUACAGAUCAAGUUGGGAAGAAUUGACAUCUUGAUGUUAUUGAGUCUUCCUAACAAUGAACACAGAAUAUCUUUCUGUUUUGUUCAGUUAUCUUUUAAAACAUGGAUUUGAGGACUCAUUGUAUUGUGGUAAGAGAAAUACUCAGGUGCUUUCAAUGCUUUGAAAUUUGGGACUUUGAUCAAUUUUUUACAAAAUGUUCCAUGAAUGACUGGAAAUUAUAUGUAUUCGGCAGUUUGGGGGAGACAGUGUUUCAUUGGACAGGUUUGUUAUUGUUCUUUUAAAAAUCUUUGCUAUACUUUUACUGAUUUUUUUUGGUGUGCUUUUUGAAUGGGUUAGAAAGAAAUGUCAAAAUCUUCCACUCUGUGAAGUGAAGUGAUAUACUCCUCCUUGUAUUAUAUCAGUUUUUGCCAUGCAUAUUUUGAGACCAUGUUUAGAUGCAUGCAUGAUAGAAUUGUUAUAGCUUUUUGGUAAAUUGAAACUUUUAUCAUUAUGAAAUGAGUCUUUGUUGUGGCUCAGCAGGUUAAGAACCCAACAUCGUGUCUGUGAGGAUGCAAGUUUAAUCCCUGAUUUUUCUUAGUGGGUUAAGGACCUGGUGUUGCCACAAGCUGUGGCAUAAGUUGUGGCUUGUAUUGAGAGUUGCUGUGGCUGUGCUGUAGGCUGGUAACUGCAGCUCUGAUUUGACUUCCAGCCUGAGAAUUUUCAUAUGCCUUGGGUGUGGCCAAGAAAAAUUGAAAAAAAAAAA
This 6868-nucleotide long non-coding RNA is filed under the name Sus scrofa (pig). RNAcentral's name for it is "lncRNA (ENSSSCG00030019715.1)". Lineage: Eukaryota; Metazoa; Chordata; Mammalia; Artiodactyla; Suidae. The record is from RNAcentral.